Molecule: long non-coding RNA, 775 nt
Filed under: Brassica napus (rape)
Lineage: Eukaryota; Viridiplantae; Streptophyta; Magnoliopsida; Brassicales; Brassicaceae
Description: long non-coding RNA (BNAP_LNC010929)
Source: RNAcentral
CAACAUUGUACCAAUGCUUAGGCAACAUUGUUCUAUCUGGAGGAGACGACUUCCAGAGUCAACUAAAAAGCCAUUUUAUUAGAAAAUGCUCUUGAUUCUCUGUAUUUGUACCAAUGCUUAGGCAACAUUGUUCUAUCUGUGGCUUGUGAGAACAAAGAAGUUACCAGUGACUUCCCGGAGUGGUAAUCCAACAAUGCGAGCUUCGACAGUUCUACUCUGUAGUGUUGUUCUAAUUCAGCUGUUUGCGGCUCAAAGUGAUGCUUAAAGAUCAAGAAGUCCAUGGCAGACACUCAAUGGUGAGAAUUCUCUCACUUACUAUCUCUUUGUUAGUUUCGUUACGCAUGAUUUUCCGAGAAGAUAGUAAAAACCUAGAGAAAUAAAAACAGAUAUGUAGUAAAAGAGGUUUGGAGAAUCAUAGAUAAGUCUCCUUUAUCAAAAUAACUUGUCACUGCUGUUCUGUUUCUUACCAGGUGAUGCUCCUCUAGUGAUUGCUCGUGGUGGGUUUUCUGGAUUGUUUCCAGAUUCAAGUAUUGAUGCUUACAGCUUCGCAAUGCCAGACAAGUGUAGCCGGUGCUGUUCUAUGGUGUGAUGUUCAGCUAACCAAAGAUGGACGUGGGGUUUGCUUCCCUGAUUUAAAAUUGAACAAUGCUUCAAAUAUUGGAGAUCUUUUCCCAAAUCGCCAAAAAUCUUACCCGGUUAAUGGAGUCACUACUCAGGGUUGGUUCACCCUUGAUUUCUCCUUGAGAGAUCUCAAUAAUGUUUCUUGUAAGUAUUU